UCCUCCCGGAAGCAGGCCUGGGCGGAUGUCUCCGGCGCGUUCGUGCACGGGGCUGAGGGCCGCGGUGGCUGCCAGCAUGGGGUUGAGCGAGGGUCCGGCGGGCUCCACCCGGAGCGGGCGCCUUCUCCGUCCGCCGAGCCCCGCUCCGGCGGCGCCGGGGGCCCGGCUGUUCCGGCUCCCGGGGAGCGGGGCCGUGCGGGCCGCAAACCCGGAGCGCGCCGGCUGGACCGAGGCGCUGCGGGCCGCCGUGGCCGAGCUGCGCGCCGGCGCCGUGGUGGCCGUCCCCACCGAUACGCUGUACGGCCUGGCCUGCUCGGCGAGCUGCUCGGAGGCACUGGGCGUCGUGUACCGCGUCAAGGGCCGCAGCGAGACCAAGCCGCUGGCCGUGUGCCUGGGCCGCGUGGCCGACGUCUACAGGUACUGCCGUGUGAGAGUACCUGAGGGGCUCCUGAAUGACCUGCUGCCAGGACCAGUGACCCUGGUGAUGGAACGCUCAGAGGAGCUCAACAAGGACCUGAACCCCUUCACUCCUCUUGUAGGCAUCCGGAUUCCUGACCACGCCUUCAUGCAGGACUUGGCCCAGGUGUUUGGGGGACCUCUUGCCCUCACCAGCGCCAACCUCAGCUCCCAGGCCAGCUCUCUGAAUGUUGAGGUGCCCUGUGUGCGGUAUGACAUCAUUGCAGAUGCCAGAGGUGGUGUCCAUGCUCUUCCUCUCCCUCUUCUCAGGAAUUUCAGGACCUCUGGCCUCGCUUGUCCUUGGUCAUUGAUGGGGGACCAAUUGGGGACGGCCAGAGCCCUGAGUGUCGACUAGGCUCAACUGUGGUUGACUUGUCUGUGCCUGGAGAGUUUGGCAUCAUUCGUCCGGGUUGGGCCGGAUGCUGGUGUCAAUGUAGCCAGGCCCCACGCUGGGAAUGAACAUGAGGUUGUUGGCAUCGCAAAAGUUCUUCACAGCCUUCCAGUUCUGAUGGGAGGAGCCGAAGGAGAAACCAUUGGAGGCAAAGUAGGUGUACAUGCCAUCAAAUCCGGCGGCCAGGAUGUCGUGGGUGUGGCCCUCCUCCACCAGCAGCGCUAUGAAGACCCCAUCGUAGGGGGUGUUGCGGAUUGAGUGGGGCCCGUUCGGUGUCAGGAGGUGGGCCCAGGCCUCAGGGGAUGUCAGGUAGGAGUCAUAGAUAUAAAAGAGUGGGAGGCUCUUACCCAUGCUGUUCUUAUAGCGGUAAAAUGCACCAUGGGAGCCAUACCUGAGGAGCAGGAGGAAGAAAAGGCUGAGCCAGCAGCCUAAGAGAAAAGAAGCCAGCACAGCCGGAGGGCUGGCCAUGAAUGAGAUCUUUCCUGAUGUCCAAGCACGAUUUUGAAUCCAGUUGGACUCCACAGUUGGACUCAUCAUGCCUCUAAGCAAGAACCCAGUUCCCUCCCACCCUCCCCCGAGCCUUGUCAUUCCUCUAUUUAAGCCUCACUUCCCUGCCCCAGGCCAAGCCACCACCAUCUUCUAUCUGGACUGUACCGACAGCCACCUAACUGGUCUCCAGGCUGCCACUUCCACCUCCCUAUAACCCAGUCUCUUUUUAAAGUGUAAAUCAGAUCUGACUGCUCCUUACCGAGACCAGCAAGGCCCCACCUACUUGAUCUGGCCCUGCCCACUGCCAUUCCUGCUAUUACCCCAUCUAUCGCUUCACGCUUCACUCCGGCUACACCGGCUGCUGUCAAGCUUGUCCCAUCAGACAGCCUUUGGAUCUGGCAGCCCUCUGCCUGGAGUUUUCUGCCUGCCCCAGAUCUCUGCAGAGCUGACUCUUCCUUUAGGUGCAGGCUUACAUGUCAUCUCAGAGAGGCUCACUGGACCACCCAUUCUAAAGUUGUUUCUUGGGCAUACUCUUAACACCCUGCUUUAUUCUGUUAUUACUUCUUCAUAGUAUGGAUCGCUAUUUGAUUUGUCAUCUAUAACCACUAUCUGCUCACUGCACGCCCACCCUAGGAUGUAAACUUUGCAAGCCCUACCCACUGCUGUACAACUGGGACUUAGGACAGUGCCUGGACACCUGAAGGCACUCAAUAAAUAUUUUGUGAAUGAA
RNA transcript from Balaenoptera ricei (Rice's whale), 2066 nucleotides. It is a transcript of the gene named yrdC N6-threonylcarbamoyltransferase domain containing, with no coding region annotated. The transcript has 5 exons. NCBI's taxonomy places the organism in Eukaryota, Metazoa, Chordata, Mammalia, Artiodactyla, Balaenopteridae. The record is from RefSeq and is a predicted model, not a curated record.